Molecule: ribosomal RNA, 713 nt
Filed under: Onobrychis gypsicola
Lineage: Eukaryota; Viridiplantae; Streptophyta; Magnoliopsida; Fabales; Fabaceae
Description: eukaryotic LSU rRNA
Rfam family: 5.8S ribosomal RNA (bases 272-427)
Source: RNAcentral
UAGGGGAACCUGCGGAAGGAUCAUUGUCGAUGCCUUACAUGCAGAUCAACUUGUGAAUAUGUUUGAACAUGUAGAGGGAUGGCUCGCGGUGGUCAAACUCCUCGACCUCCCUUGUGCUUGGAGUGGCUGCCACGUUGUGUGCUCCCCCCCAAGCCUAACCCAAACCCCGGCGCUUAAUGCGCCAAGGAACUAAAUUUGGUUAAGUGCGCCCCUGCGGUCACUGGAGACGGUGAUCUCGCAGGAGGUGUUUUGACGCAUGAUAUAUAUAAACGACUCUCGGCAACGGAUAUCUAGGCUCUUGCAUCGAUGAAGAACGUAGCGAAAUGCGAUACUUGGUGUGAAUUGCAGAAUCCCGUGAACCAUCGAGUUUUUGAACGCAAGUUGCGCCCGAAGCCAUUAGGUUGAGGGCACGUCUGCCUGGGCGUCACAUAUCGUUGCCCUAUGCCCAAUGCCCCAUCGUUGCUGAUAGGCACUGUGCAGGGCGAAUGUUGGCUUCCCGUGAGCGUUGUUGUCUCACGGUUGGCUGAAAACUGAGUCCUUGGUAGGGUGUGUGCCAUGAUAGAUGGUGGUUGUGUCACCCACGAGACCGAUCAUGUGCGGCUCUACCAUCUCUGGACUCUUUGACCCACUUGCGUCCUUGAACGCUACUGACGAGACCUCAGGUCAGGCGGGGCUACCCGCUGAAUUUAAGCAUAUCAAUAAGGCCGGAGGAA